GACGAACGCUGGCGGCGUGCUUAACACAUGCAAGUCGAACGGAAAGGCCCUGCUUUUGUGGGUUGCUCGAUUGGCGAACGGGUGAGUAUCACGUGAGUAACCUGCCCUUGUCUUUGGGAUAUCUUCUCGAGACUCCGGCUAAUACCGGAUAUGAUCUCUUGCUGCAUGGUGGGGGUUGGUAAGUUUCGGCGGUUGGGGAUGGACUCGCGGCUUAUCCGCUUGUUGGUGGGGUAGUGGAUUACCAAGGGUUUGACGGGUAGCCGGCCUGAGAGGGUUACCGGCCACAAGGGGACUGAGAGAGGGCGCAGACGCGAACGGGAGGCAGCAGGGGGGAAUAUUGCAGAAUGGGCGGAAGCGAGAGGCAGCAACGCCGCGUGCGGGAUGACGGCCUUCGGGUGGAAAACAGAUUUCGAAUGAGACGAAGCGGGAGUGACGGUAAUGGGUAAAGAAGCACCGGCUAACUACGUG
RNAcentral lists this ribosomal RNA (468 nucleotides) under uncultured bacterium. Its description in RNAcentral is "partial 16S ribosomal RNA". It matches the Rfam family "Bacterial small subunit ribosomal RNA", at positions 28 to 507 of the family's 1533-position model. The record is from RNAcentral.